AUACGUAGGGGGCGAGCGUUGUCCGGAAUGAUUGGGCGUAAAGGGCGCGUAGGCGGCGCGGUAAGUCUGGAGUGAAAGUCCUGCUUUCAAGGUGGGAAUUGCUUUGGAUACUGCCGCGCUUGAGUGCAGGAGAGGUUAUCGGAAUUCCCGGUGUAGCGGUGCAAUGCGUAGAGAUCGGGAGGAACACCAGUGGCGAAGGCGGGUAACUGGACUGCAACUGACGCUGAGGCGCGAAAGUGUGGGGAGCAAACAGGAUUAGAUACCCUGGUAGUCCACACUGUAAACGAUGAAUGCUAGGUGUAAGAGGUAUCGACCCCUUUUGUGCCGGAGUCAACACAAUAAGCAUUCCGCCUGGGGGGUACGGCCGCAAGGUUGAAACUCAAAGGAAUUGACGGGG
RNAcentral lists this ribosomal RNA (397 nucleotides) under uncultured bacterium. Its description in RNAcentral is "partial 16S ribosomal RNA". It matches the Rfam family "Bacterial small subunit ribosomal RNA", at positions 523 to 918 of the family's 1533-position model. The record is from RNAcentral.